UACGGAGGGGACUAGCGUUGUUCGGAAUUACUGGGCGUAAAGCGCACGUAGGCGGAUUUGUAAGUCAGGGGUGAAAUCCCGAGGCUCAACCUCGGAACUGCCUUUGAUACUGCAAAUCUCGAGUCCGGAAGAGGUGAGUGGAAUUCCUAGUGUAGAGGUGAAAUUCGUAGAUAUUAGGAAGAACACCAGUGGCGAAGGCGGAACUCUGGGCCGGAACUGACGCUGAGGAGCGAAAGCGUGGGGAGCGAACAGG
RNAcentral lists this ribosomal RNA (253 nucleotides) under uncultured bacterium. Its description in RNAcentral is "partial 16S ribosomal RNA". It matches the Rfam family "Bacterial small subunit ribosomal RNA", at positions 524 to 776 of the family's 1533-position model. The record is from RNAcentral.